AACAUCUAUUGUCUUUAUCUCUGACCUAGGUGGAGGUGAUGUUGAGGCUGGAGAAGGAUUGCUUGACAAGCAAAGAACCACAACUGCUGAUCUGAUCUAUGGAAAAGUUGGUGGCUCCAUUGUUCUGAAUCCAGGUCAGAUUUCAGAGCCUAUUGAGACAGUAACAUGGAGGCACAAAUUGGACCUGACCUCAAAGUGUUCUUGGCAGG
Long non-coding RNA from Cyprinodon variegatus (sheepshead minnow), 209 nucleotides. RefSeq lists it as uncharacterized. The record is from RefSeq and is a predicted model, not a curated record. The transcript has 3 exons. Lineage: Eukaryota; Metazoa; Chordata; Actinopteri; Cyprinodontiformes; Cyprinodontidae.